UGAAUUGAAGCCCCAGUAAACGGCGGCGGUAACUAUAACCGUCCUAAGGUAGCGAAAUUCCUUGUCGGGUAAGUUCCGACCUGCACGAAUGGAGUAACGACUUGGGCACUGUCUCGAUGGGGGGCCCGGCGAAAUUGCAGUACCAGUGAAGAUGCUGGUUACCCGCGGCAGGACGGAAAGACCCCAUGAAGCUUUACUAUACCCUGAUGUUGGGUCUUGAGAUUUUCUGUACAGGAUAGGUGGGAGCUGAUGAUCCGUGGGCGCUAGCUUACGGGGAGGCAACCUUGGGAUACCACCCUGAAAAUCUUGGGAUUCUAACCUACGACCGUAAGCCGGUCGGGAGACAGCGUCAGGCGGGUAGUUUGACUGGGGCGGUCGCCUCCUAAAGAGUAACGGAGGCGCCCAAAGGUUCCCUCAGGACGGUCAGAAACCGUUCGUUGAGUGCAUAGGCAAAAGGGAGCUUGACUGCGAGACGAACAUGUCGAGCAGGUGCGAAAGCAGGGCUAAGUGAUCCGGCGGUACCGAAUGGAAGGGCCGUCGCUUAUCGGAUAAAAGCUACUCUGGGGAUAACAGGCUUAUCUCCCCCAAGAGUCCACAUCGACGGGGAGGUUUGGCACCUCGAUGUCGGAUCGUCGCAUCCUGGGGCUGUAGUAGGUCCCAAGGGUUGGGCUGUUCGCCCAUUAAAGCGGUACGCGAUCUGGGUUCAGAACGUCGUGAGACAGUUCGGUCCCUAUCCGCCGUGGGCGUAGGAGAUUUGAGGAGUGUCGACCCUAGUACGAGAGGACCGGGUUGAACGAACCUCUGGUGAACCGGUUGUCGUGCCAACGGCAUAGCCGGGUAGCUACGUUCGGAUCAGAUAAACGCUGAAAGCAUAUAAGCGUGAAACUGACUUCAAGAUGAGAUCUCAACCUCGAAAGAGUGAAGGGUCGUGGGAGACUACCACGUUGAUAGGCCGGAGGUGGAAGGCGAGCAAUCGCUGGAGCUGACCGGUACUAAUAGCCCGGACACUUAAUAAG
Molecule: ribosomal RNA, 1016 nt
Filed under: soil metagenome
Description: bacterial LSU rRNA
Rfam family: Bacterial large subunit ribosomal RNA
Source: RNAcentral